UUUUGCUAAAUCAAAGGCAAGGCGCAA
This 27-nucleotide small RNA is filed under the name Bombyx mori (domestic silkworm). RNAcentral's name for it is "ovarian small RNA-38473". The record is from RNAcentral. Lineage: Eukaryota; Metazoa; Arthropoda; Insecta; Lepidoptera; Bombycidae.